CCCUCAGGAUAGCUGGAACUUAUGAGAAAGUAGUUUUAUCAGGUAAAGCGAAUGAUUAGAGGCUUUGGGGAAGAAACUUCCUCGACCUAUUCUCAAACUUUAAAUAGGUAAGAUUUGGAGGAUACUUAGGUGAUCUUUCAAUACAUUGAAUAUCAAGUUCUUAGUGGGCCAUUUUUGGUAAGCAGAACUGGCGAUGUGGGAUGAACCGAACGUUAAGUUAAAGUGCCAAAUAGUACGCUCAUGAGAUACCAUAAAAGGUGUUGGUUCAUUUUGACAGCAGGACGGUGGCCAUGGAAGUCGGAACCCGCUAAGGAGUGUGUAACAACUCACCUGCCGAAUGAACUAGCCCUGAAAAUGGAUGGCGCUUAAGCGUAUAACUUAUACUUAACCCUUACUUGAAUUAUUAUAACGAGUAAGGAGUAGGAGGG
Molecule: ribosomal RNA, 428 nt
Filed under: uncultured eukaryote
Lineage: Eukaryota
Description: eukaryotic LSU rRNA
Rfam family: Eukaryotic large subunit ribosomal RNA
Source: RNAcentral